CUACACACAAGAACUUGAGUUGCGAGCUGGAUUAUGAUGAUGAUGAGUAUGCUGACAAUGAGACUGCAGUCUUGGAGGCUCGAGCCUUGCAGAAUGGAGAAGAGUCUAAGGAUGAACGCGAAAAUAGCGAUGAUGGUAGCUCCAGUUCUGAUGAAGAAUCUUCUGAAAGUUCUGAACAUCUUGACACAGGGGACCCAAAGAGUAAAGCAGAUUCUAAAGAGAAGACUGUUCGAGGUUUAACUAGGCUCAAGAAGCUAAAGAAAAAUUGGAAUGGCCAGAAACGUGUGAUGGAAUUUGAUAAAUUGGGUCAUUUUAAGGGGAAGUACAAAUCUGAAAUUGCUAGUUACAUGGGUGUAAUAGUACGUCGGGACGUAGGUCUCAGGCACUUGAAUCGGAAGAAAGUAAAGACAGAGUUGAGGGAUAAGUUAUGGGACGAACUAGUGGUAUGUGUAUACUGAUUUCUAUGUUAAUAUUAUAUUUGUUACUAAUUUUUGCUGAGUUACCGCCAUUAACAUCCAAUUCAUAUUUUGGAAGUGGUUUUAUGAAAUUGAGGUGACUAGGAGAAAUCGAAAUAUGAAAUACUUCGGUGAACAUUUGCGCAAUUUUAGAAGAAAACUGUGUGUAAAGUUUAUAGUGCCCAAUUUGGGUAAACCUGCUAAACUUACGACUAUUCCUGAACAAUAUCGUUUGUUGCUGACCCAAGAACAAUGGGACAACUUCGUAGACUGGAGGCUGUCUGCUGAAUGCAAGAAAUUGUCCACUAUGGGAGUUGAGGCGCGUGAGCACCACAAAUAUGACCAUAGGUUGGGAAGAGCAGGAUAUGCGGCGCUGCUGGAAAAAUUAAUUAAAGAAAAAGAGAUUCGUGAAGAUGAAAAUCCUUUACGGUCUUUACUGUGGAGGAAGGCACAUCAAAACAAAAAUGGAGAAUAUGAUGACGAUGGUGUUAGGGAAAAGGCAGCACAGCUUGUAAUGCGACUGAAACUACUUAGCUAUUUGUUCUGUGCUUUAGUGAAUGUGCAAAUUAAGAUGUGCAGGCAAGGGAGUAACUCCAACAACAUACUGGAACCUGCCACGGAAAGGAGCAUCCAAGGAGCACAUUGAACUGAAGAAACAGAUGAAAGACAUGUGAACCAAAUGGAGAGAGAUAGGAAGGAUAAAGAAAUGAAGGAACUGAAGGAAGCAAUGAAUGCACAAGCAAAAAUGAUGAACAACUUAAUGUCUCAGUUCAAUUCUCAAGGAGUAUUGAAAAAGAAAAAAUCCAACAACAAAAAGGCGCGGAAAUCUCCUAUUAUAGAGAAGUCUCUUAUGCCUGAGGCCCCUGUUAGAAGCAAUUCUCUGAUUGAAAGACAGGAAUCAAAUUCAAAUAGCCAGUCCCCUGAAUCUCAACGUGUAUCUCAGUCGGCGGCAUCGAAAGACAAAUCUGAACUCCAAAUGGUGUUUUUUUUCCUCGCGUUUUUAGGGGCCACUCAAAAGGAUUUAGGGGCCAACAAUAAAACAAAAAAGGUCACCAAAGGGAAAAUGUAGCCAGCCCUUAUCUCGCGUAAUUCGUAAUGGCAAAAUUACCCUUAUAUAUUCGGAGGAUAUGAUAACAUUUUUAUCCUCCGAUUUCAAUCGGAAGACAAAAAUUUACCCAGACUUCCGAUUGUAGUUGGUGCAUUACUUCCGAUUGUAGU
Molecule: long non-coding RNA, 1673 nt
Organism: Papaver somniferum (opium poppy)
Lineage: Eukaryota; Viridiplantae; Streptophyta; Magnoliopsida; Ranunculales; Papaveraceae
Exons: 5
Source: RefSeq, a predicted model, not a curated record